UACGAAGGGGGCUAGCGUUGCUCGGAAUGACUGGGCGUAAAGGGCGUGUAGGCGGCUUGAAUAGUCGGAUGUGAAAUUCCCGGGCUCAACCUGGGGGCUGCAUCCGAGACGUUUGGGCUGGAGUGCGGAAGAGGGUCGUGGAAUUCCCAGUGUAGAGGUGAAAUUCGUAGAUAUUGGGAAGAACACCGGUGGCGAAGGCGGCGACCUGGUCCGUGACUGACGCUGAGGCGCGAAAGCGUGGGGAGCAAACAGG
Molecule: ribosomal RNA, 253 nt
Filed under: uncultured bacterium
Lineage: Bacteria
Description: partial 16S ribosomal RNA
Rfam family: Bacterial small subunit ribosomal RNA
Source: RNAcentral